RNAcentral lists this ribosomal RNA (505 nucleotides) under uncultured bacterium. RNAcentral describes it as "partial 16S ribosomal RNA". It matches the Rfam family "Bacterial small subunit ribosomal RNA", at positions 28 to 507 of the family's 1533-position model. The record is from RNAcentral.
GACGAACGCUGGCGGCGUGCCUAAUACAUGCAAGUAGAACGCACAGUUUAUACCGUAGCUUGCUACACCAUAGACUGUGAGUUGCGAACGGGUGAGUAACGCGUAGGUAACCUGCCUGGUAGCGGGGGAUAACUAUUGGAAACGAUAGCUAAUACCGCAUAAUAUUGAUUAUUGCAUGAUAAUUAAUUGAAAGGUGCAAUUGCACCACUACCAGAUGGACCUGCGUUGUAUUAGCUAGUAGGUGAGGUAACGGCUCACCUAGGCGACGAUACAUAGCCGACCUGAGAGGGUGAUCGGCCCCAAUGGGACUGAGACACGGCCCAGACUCCUACGGGGGGGAGCAGUAGGGAAGCUUCGGCAAUGGACGAAAGUCUGACCGAGCAACGCCGCGGGAGGGAAGAAGGUUUUCGGAUCGUAAAGCUCUGUUGUAAGGGAAGAACGGGUGUGAGAGUGGAAAGUUCACACUGUGACGGUAUCUUACCAGAAAGGGACGGCUAACUACGUG